ACGCCCGUAGUUGGAUCAGCGGAUUUGGAGAACGGUCUGCCGAUGGGCUGUACUGUUCUCCUGUCCUAUUUUCUCUAGUUCGCUCUAGGUGCUCUUCACUGAGUGUCUAGAGUGGCUGGAACUUUUACUUUGAAAAAAUUAGAGUGCUCAAAGCAGGCGUCUCAGCCUGAAUAGUGGUGCAUGGAAUAAUGGAAUAGGACCUCAGUUCUAUUUUGUUGGUUUUCGGAGCAUGAGGUAAUGAUUAAGAGGGACAGACGGGGGCAUUCGUAUUACGACGUUAGAGGUGAAAUUCUUGGAUCGUCGCAAGACGAACUACUGCGAAAGCAUUUGCCAAGAAUGUUUUCAUUAAUCAAGGACGAUAGUUAGAGGUUCGAAGGCGAUCAGAUACCGCCCUAGUUCUAACCGUAAACGAUGUCAACCAGCGAUCCGCAGGAGUUAUUCAUGACUCUGCGGGCAGCUUCCGGGAAACCAAAGUUUUUGGAUUCCGGGGGGAGUAUGGUUGCAAAGCUGAAACUUAAAGGAAUUGACGGAAGGGCACCACCAGGAGCGGACCUGCGGCUUAAUUUACUCAACGCGGGGAUACUCACCCGGCCCGGACACCGUAAGGAUUGACAGAUUGAGAGCUCUUUCUUGAUUCGGUGGGUGGUGGUGCAUGGCCGUUCUUAGUUGGUGGAGCGAUUUGUCUGGUUAAUUCCGAUAACGAACGAGACUCUAGCCUACUAAAUAGAAGGCAAAUUAUUCGUUUGCUGUACUUCUUA
Molecule: ribosomal RNA, 758 nt
Filed under: uncultured Rhabdolaimus
Lineage: Eukaryota; Metazoa; Nematoda; Enoplea; Enoplida; Rhabdolaimidae
Description: SSU rRNA
Rfam family: Eukaryotic small subunit ribosomal RNA
Source: RNAcentral